This 254-nucleotide ribosomal RNA is filed under the name uncultured bacterium. RNAcentral's name for it is "partial 16S ribosomal RNA". It matches the Rfam family "Bacterial small subunit ribosomal RNA", at positions 57 to 305 of the family's 1533-position model. The record is from RNAcentral.
GCAAGUUGAACGAAGUACUUUGGGUUUACUCGGAGUAACUUAGUAGCGGACGGGUGAGUAACGCGUGAGUAACCUACCUUUGUGAGGGGGACAACAGCUGGAAACGGCUGCUAAUACCGCAUAAGGCCACGGCAUUGAGUGAUGCAGUGGUAAAAGAAUCUAAUCGCACAAAGACGGACUCGCGUCCCAUUAGCUAGUUGGUGAGGUAACGGCCCACCAAGGCAACGAUGGGUAGCCGACCUGAGAGGGUGAUC